AAGUCGUAACAAGGUCUCCGUUGGUGAACCAGCGGAGGGAUCAUUACAGAGUUGCAAAACUCCCUAAACCAUUGUGAACGUUACCUUUACCGUUGCUUCGGCGGGCGGCCCGGGUCCUGCCCGGCGCCCCUCGGCCCUCGCGGGCGCCCGCCGGAGGAAAACCAAACUAUUGCAUUGUAUGGCCUCUCUGAGUCUUCUGUACUGAAUAAGUCAAAACUUUCAACAACGGAUCUCUUGGUUCUGGCAUCGAUGAAGAACGCAGCGAAAUGCGAUAAGUAAUGUGAAUUGCAGAAUUCAGUGAAUCAUCGAAUCUUUGAACGCACAUUGCGCCCGCCAGUAUUCUGGCGGGCAUGCCUGUUCGAGCGUCAUUUCAACCAUCAAGCCCCCGGCUUGUGUUGGGGACCUGCGGCUGCCGCAGGCCCUGAAGACCAGUGGCGGGCUCGCUGUCACUCCGAGCGUAGUAGUUACAUCUCGCUCAGGGCGUGCUGCGGGUUCCGGCCGUUAAAAGCCUUAUUUUACCCAAGGUUGACCUCGGAUCAGGUAGGAAGACCCGCUGAACUUA
This 562-nucleotide ribosomal RNA is filed under the name uncultured fungus. Its description in RNAcentral is "eukaryotic LSU rRNA". The stretch from base 215 to 368 matches the Rfam family "5.8S ribosomal RNA". Lineage: Eukaryota; Fungi. The record is from RNAcentral.